UACGUAGGGCGCAAGCGUUGUCCGGAAUUAUUGGGCGUAAAGGGCUCGUAGGCGGUCUGUUGCGUCGGGAGUGAAAACUUACAGCUUAACUGUGAGCGUGCUUUCGAUACGGGCAGACUUGAGGCAUUCAGGGGAGAACGGAAUUCCUGGUGUAGCGGUGAAAUGCGCAGAUAUCAGGAGGAACACCGGUGGCGAAGGCAGCUCGCUGGGACGGCACUGACGCUGAGACGCGAAAGCGUGGGGAGCAAACAGG
RNAcentral lists this ribosomal RNA (253 nucleotides) under uncultured bacterium. RNAcentral describes it as "partial 16S ribosomal RNA". It matches the Rfam family "Bacterial small subunit ribosomal RNA", at positions 524 to 776 of the family's 1533-position model. The record is from RNAcentral.